GAUGAACGCUGGCGGCGUGCCUAAUACAUGCAAGUCGAGCGAACAGACGAGGAGCUUGCUCCUUCGACGUUAGCGGCGGACGGGUGAGUAACACGUAGGUAACCUACCUAUAAGACUGGGAUAACUUCGGGAAACCGGAGCUAAUACCGGAUAAUAUUUCGAACCGCAUGGUUCGAUAGUGAAAGAUGGCUUUGCUAUCACUUAUAGAUGGACCUGCGCCGUAUUAGCUAGUUGGUAAGGUAACGGCUUACCAAGGCAACGAUUCGUAGCCGACCUGAGAGGGUGAUCGGCCACACUGGAACUGAGACACGGUCCAUACUCCUACGGGAGGCAGCAGUAGGGAAUCUUACGCAAUGGGCGAAAGCAUGACGGAGCAACGCCGCGCGAGUGAUGAAGGUCUUCGGAUCGUAAAACUGUGUUAUUAGGGAAGAACAAACGUGUAAGUAACUGUGCACGGCUUGACGGUACCUAAUCAGAAAGCCACGGCUAACUACGUG
This 497-nucleotide ribosomal RNA is filed under the name uncultured bacterium. Its description in RNAcentral is "partial 16S ribosomal RNA". It matches the Rfam family "Bacterial small subunit ribosomal RNA", at positions 28 to 507 of the family's 1533-position model. The record is from RNAcentral.